UGGGGAAUUUUGCACAAUGGGGGAAACCCUGAUGCAGCGACGCCGCGUGAUUUAGAAGGCCUUCGGGUUGUAAAAAUCUUUUUUAUGGGAUGAAAAUGACAGUACCAUAAGAAUAAGGUCCGGCUAAAUACGUGCCAGCAGCCGCGGUAAUACGUAUGGACCGAGCGUUGUCCGGAAUCAUUGGGCGUAAAGGGUACGUAGGCGGCCCAGUAAGUUAGAAGUGAAAUAAUAUAGCUCAACUAUAUAAAGCUUUUAAAACUGCUAGGCUUGAGAGAUGGAAGGGAAAGUGGAAUUCCUAGUGUAGCGGUGAAAUGCGCAGAUAUUAGGAGGAAUACCGGUGGCGAAGGCGACUUUCUGGCCAUAAUCUGACGCUGAGGUACGAAAGCGUGGGUAGCAAACAGG
RNAcentral lists this ribosomal RNA (402 nucleotides) under Bacteroidota bacterium. Its description in RNAcentral is "Bacteroidetes bacterium partial 16S ribosomal RNA". It matches the Rfam family "Bacterial small subunit ribosomal RNA", at positions 355 to 776 of the family's 1533-position model. Lineage: Bacteria; Pseudomonadati; Bacteroidota. The record is from RNAcentral. RNAcentral also lists the same sequence under 1 other name.